CAGGGAUCCUUAACCACUGAGCCACAUCCUCAGCCCUUUUUUAUAUUUUAUUUAGAGACAGGGUCUCACUAAAUUAGAGCCUUACUAAAUUGCUGAGGCUGGCUUUGAACUCUUGAUCCUCCUGCCUCAGCCUCCUGAGCCACUGGGAUUACAGGCUUGCACUACUGCCCCUGGCAAGUUCUAUAUUUUGCGUGUGAGGGUCGGGGGGCAGAUACUGGGGAUUGAACAUAGGGCACUGUAAUACUGUUACAUCCCCAGCCCUUUUUAUUUUUUAAUCAGGGUCUCACUGAUCACUGAGGCUGGCCUCUAAUUCACAAUUCUGCCUCAGCCUCCAGAGUGGCUGGGAUUACAGGAGUGCUCCAUGGUACCUGGCUAUAAUCUAUACUUAACUGGACAAUUCUUUAUUCCUUGAUUUCCCCAAAACCUAUAAGAAAGAAAGAAAGGGAAAGAAAGAAAGAGAAAGUCAGUCCAGGUGACUUCUGAAGACCCCCACUCCAAGUGCUCCUCAGAGUCCCAACCCUAUUUAAUGGGAUACCUGCACUCAUACACUCUCCUGCCACCACCCCCUCCCUAAUCUACUCCAUCAAAGGGGAGGGACUUCAGGCCUAGACCCCACAACCUUUCCAUCUUCAAAAGCUCUGUCUUGGAGGCAUUCAGUUGGUGCAGAAGGCUGAAGGUGAGCGCAUCUGGUCCGUGCCAGUCCUACUCUGGGCAGCCGCCCCCA
RNAcentral lists this long non-coding RNA (724 nucleotides) under Marmota monax (woodchuck). The record is from RNAcentral. Lineage: Eukaryota; Metazoa; Chordata; Mammalia; Rodentia; Sciuridae.